AAUCUAAUGGUUGUAACUUCCGUCGGCAGAAAUCUGUUGCUUCCCCUGGGCGUGGUAUUCUGGCAAUUGAUGAGUCAAAUGCAACAUGUGGAAAGAGGUUAUCAUCUAUUGGUUUGGACAACACAGAAGUGAACCGCCAGGCUUACAGGCAGCUUUUUUGUUUUGUUUUGUUUUGCCAAACUUAUACAGCUGUUCUUUGAAAUGCCUCACCAGGUGGCUACUGUUUUACUGCUAUUCACAUUAUCUGGCCCUGUAAAAGCGUCAACUUAUCUGCUAAUGCAUGGAGUAGUUGGUCUCAUCAUGGGUACUGUUUGGAGAUUGGAGACCAACUGGAUUGUCUCCAUCAUCCUCUGCUCCAUUGUAAAUUCUCUGACUUUGUUUUAGU
Zea mays is the source of this 385-nucleotide long non-coding RNA. RefSeq lists it as uncharacterized. The record is from RefSeq and is a predicted model, not a curated record. The transcript has 3 exons. NCBI's taxonomy places the organism in Eukaryota, Viridiplantae, Streptophyta, Magnoliopsida, Poales, Poaceae.